GAUGAAGAACGUAGCGAAAUGCGAUACGUAAUGUGAAUUGCAGAAUUCAGUGAAUCAUCGAGUCUUUGAACGCACAUUGCGCCCCCUGGUAUUCCGGGGGGCAUGCCUGUCCGAGCGUCAUUGCUGCCCUCAAGCACGGCUUGUGUGUUGGGCCUCCGCCCCCCGGCUCCCGGGGGGCGGGCCCGAAAGGCAGCGGCGGCACCGCGUCCGGUCCUCGAGCGUAUGGGGCUUCGUCACCCGCUCCGUAGGCCCGGCCGGCGCCCGCCGGCGACCCCCCUCAAUCUUUCCAGGUCGACCUCGGAUCAGGUAGGGAUACCCGCUGAACUUAAGCAUAUCAAUAAGCGGAGGA
Molecule: unclassified non-coding RNA, 349 nt
Filed under: soil metagenome
Description: partial contains 5.8S ribosomal RNA, internal transcribed spacer 2, and large subunit ribosomal RNA
Rfam family: 5.8S ribosomal RNA (bases 1-120)
Source: RNAcentral